CUACGGGGCGCUGCAGUGGGGAAUAUUGCACAAUGGGGGAAACCCUGAUGCAGCAACGCCGCGUGGAGGAUGACACAUUUCGGUGCGUAAACUCCUUUUAUAAUAGAAGAUAAUGACGGUAUAUUAUGAAUAAGCUCCGGCUAACUCCGUGCCAGCAGCCGCGGUAAUACGGGGGGAGCAAGCGUUACUCGGAAUCACUGGGCGUAAAGAGCAUGUAGGCCGAUAGAAAAGUUGGAAGUGAAAUCCUAUGGCUUAACCAUAGAACUGCUUCCAAAACUCUCUAUCUAGAAUAUGGGAGAGGUAGAUGGAAUUUCUGGUGUAGGGGUAAAAUCCGUAGAGAUCAGAAGGAAUACCGAUUGCGAAGGCGAUCUACUGGAACAUUAUUGACGCUGAGAUGCGAAAGCGUGGGGAGCAAACAGGAUUAGAUACCCUGGUAGUC
RNAcentral lists this ribosomal RNA (439 nucleotides) under uncultured bacterium. RNAcentral's name for it is "partial 16S ribosomal RNA". It matches the Rfam family "Bacterial small subunit ribosomal RNA", at positions 339 to 795 of the family's 1533-position model. The record is from RNAcentral.